UGGGGAAGGAUCUCUUCUGGAGAUUCACUCCAUUGGAGUUUCUCACUUGAGCCCAGUUUACAGAUUGAAUUUGCAGAGCAGUCUUCUGACAUGCAUGAAGCAGUGCCAGUUAUUCAAGUCUUGCAUGGAUGAGGAGAAAGUGUGAUAUAAAAAUGUUGUGUAUAGGCCAGAAUCAGUGCCAGAUGUGCUUGCAUGUGCUGAGAAGAGAAGAGGAAAAUUGCAGCAGGGUGUGCAAAACUCAAGUGGAAUCAUUGAAGGAUGGUGAAUAUCGAAACCCAAAUGUUAUUUAGUAGUGAUACAUACACAUUGGAUGCACUGAUUAAUGUUACACGUAAACUGCUUCCAUGUGUUUGGCUUAUUUUCUAUGCAGCACAAGAUAUCAUUUCCCAGAAAAUUAAAGUUCCUCGUUAGU
Molecule: non-coding RNA, 412 nt
Organism: Meleagris gallopavo (turkey)
Lineage: Eukaryota; Metazoa; Chordata; Aves; Galliformes; Phasianidae
Source: RefSeq, a predicted model, not a curated record